UUUUUUAAAAAAAAAUUAUUAUUAUUUUGAUAAAAUUUGUAGCCUUGUACAUUUCCAUAUUCUGCCAUACAGGUAUACAGCAACUGUUAUGCUCUAGGGGAUCGUGAUAACAAACAAACAACAUUCUAAAAUUUUCAUAAUACAAGUUCUCCUAGUUAUUUGAUACUUCUGCCGUUCGCAUUUUAGGCGUCGCAUCCUGUUCUUGAAACGGAAUGAAGAGGUAGGUUUACACAAAAAAUAUAUAUCAAACUUAAAACAAGCAUCC
Molecule: long non-coding RNA, 265 nt
Filed under: Phoenix dactylifera (date palm)
Lineage: Eukaryota; Viridiplantae; Streptophyta; Magnoliopsida; Arecales; Arecaceae
Description: long non-coding RNA (PDAC_LNC021470)
Source: RNAcentral